UGAAGGUGAAGUUAUCGGAGCUAGCGUUCUCUGUUAAGAGUAUUAACCAUAAUCCACAUUUUUUUGCAAAGGCAAAGCAGAAGAACCGAUGAACAUUUAAAACAUGUCCAUAAGCAGAAGCAACCGCUUGCUUUUCAACCCUUAGCCAGAUCAGAUGUUUGAAGGCCUUUGAGAAGCAGGGAGAAAAGCGUGCCCUGUCAGUUCAAGCGCAUGCUGACUGGAGAGAAUAGGGGUUAUAGCCCAAAAAUAAAAGGUUGCUAAGCUAUGGCCCAAUCUCCACUAGCAGGGAGUUCCUGAGACUUCAUUAUACUUCAUCUCAACAUUGUUUUUUUCAAUUUUAAGAAAUGCCAUAAGAGGAUUUUUAAUAUGGAUAAGAUACUUGGUUUGCCUCUGCUGCUUAUCAUAUCGUGGUUCCCUUAUUUGGGGGUGGUGUAUAGGUACAUAUAUGUGAUAUCCUGUGUGGGGCAGUGGGUAAAUUAAUGACUGAGACUCCAGAGACCUGGGUUCGAAUCCCCACUCAGCCAUUAAAACUCAUGGGGUGUGUGGAACUGGUAAAACCACUCUUUAAAUAGCCCUGUUAGGAUCACUGUAAGUCUAUGGCCCAUAACAACAAGUGUAUAUAUGCCUUCUGCACUGGAUAAAAAAUGAGAUUUUUAGAGACUUUAAGGACCAUUUUAAUGGGGGAAAAUACAUGACGUACAAGAUGGCAGUAGAGCUGGCUGGAGAGCUCAGUGGUUUAAGUCUCUGAGCGUUGCAAUAUGAGGGUGCCCGUCUGAAAACAGAAAUAGAACAUGGAGAAUGCAGGAAAAGAAGGAAGCAACUUAGCCAUCAUCCUCUUAGAACUGCUUAGCUGGAAGGGACCCUGUGCCGGCCCUCAUUGAAGUCCCUUGAACUGAGUUUUCUGCUUGUUUGUUUGUUGUUGUUGUUGUUGUUUAUUAACAAUUUAGGAUAGGGUAGGGGAUACAACAAGUAAGGGAGGGAUAUGAGGAAAAAGGAAAAAGAAAGAGGGGGAGUGGAACAUAAAAUAUGUUGCCAUAUCAAGAUGAUUUUCCAUUUUUCUGCUAUACAGUUGCCCUCCAGCAGAAGAACUGACAGAAGAAGUGGUGUCAAAUUAGAGGUCAAAAGUGGCGAGCUUCCAGCCUGCUGCGGCUUUCAGGAAGUUAACACUAGGAAAUCUGGCUGUGUGAUACCUUCUGGGGCUGCCUUGCCUCCAGGAGCCUCGCUUGACCAUCUGUGUAACUUUUGCAGAGCAUUGCCACUGACCGUUUGAGUCGCAAAACAAGUUUUUAAACAAAAUGGUGCGUUAUAGGAAAGCUUCCUGUCUUGACACUAUAACCGAAUAGCAAAAUGGGUAGCUGUGGGAGUGAUGCUAAAAUACAGGACUUGAAUUGUAGUGGUUUUAACCUCCUUUCGUGAUGCUAACGUAAUAAGCACAAUACAGUACUUGAAUUGUAGUGGUUUUAACCUCCUUUUGGAGAUACGGUUUUAAGUGUGUCUCUUGUUUAAUUCCUGAAGUUGCUUCUGCAUCUCAAAGAAUACAGGCAUAGAAGUAAUUUUAUUUUUUUAGUAUUUUUAUCAAUGUUAUUUAAUUUCUUCACAAAUACCGUUCAUACACUUUGGCCCCAUUGGCUUUGGCAUGAAGCUAAAAACCUGACUCGUAUUGAAAAAGGCCUGUUUAAUCUUUCUUUAGAUUCCAAGGCCAUGAUCCAGCCCUAUAUACAAGCAAGUAUGUUGUAUGUAUGAGUCAGGCUGUUUGCAGGAAUGAUAUCCUGUGUAGAUCUGACUUAUUCUGGAGCAGCCUUUCCAUGGAUACGAAGUGCACACUUGGCCACCUUGCUUAUACAUUUGCUGAAGAAAUCAGGUUUUCUCAUGAAGCCACCUCUCCCCCACCUCCGUCUUGUAAAAAGGUGUUUUUAUUUUCCUUCAAGGUUUUGGGCAUGGAGCAUCUCUCGCGAUUAAGAGCCAACGCAAGUCACCACCUCUGACCCUGGACGGAUCGCUCCCACCAUCAUCCUCCCUGGAGCCCCCUCCAGAGCCAAACCACCAGCUGGAACAGGUGGUGGAGUGUUGGCAGG
Pogona vitticeps (central bearded dragon) is the source of this 2075-nucleotide long non-coding RNA. The record is from Ensembl. Lineage: Eukaryota; Metazoa; Chordata; Lepidosauria; Squamata; Agamidae.